GACGAACGCUGGCGGCGUGCUUAACACAUGCAAGUCGAACGGAAAGGCCCUGCUUUUGUGGGGUGCUCGAGUGGCGAACGGGUGAGUAACACGUGAGUAACCUGCCCUUGACUUUGGGAUAACUUCAGGAAACUGGGGCUAAUACCGGAUAGGAGCUCCUGCUGCAUGGUGGGGGUUGGAAAGUUUCGGCGGUUGGGGAUGGACUCGCGGCUUAUCAGUUUGUUGGUGGGGUAGUGGCUUACCAAGGCUUUGACGGGUAGCCGGCCUGAGAGGGUGACCGGCAACAUUGGGACUGAGAUACGGCCCAGACUCCUACGGGAGGCAGCAGUGGGGAAUAUUGCACAAUGGGCGGAAGCCUGAUGCAGCAACGCCGCGUGCGGGAUGACGGCCUUCGGGUUGUAAACCGCUUUCGCCUGUGACGAAGCGUGAGUGACGGUAAUGGGUAAAGAAGCACCGGCUAACUACGUG
Molecule: ribosomal RNA, 468 nt
Filed under: uncultured bacterium
Lineage: Bacteria
Description: partial 16S ribosomal RNA
Rfam family: Bacterial small subunit ribosomal RNA
Source: RNAcentral